GUGCGAGGGGGCUUGCUCCCGAUAGCGGUGGGUCAGCCAGCUUAUUGGUCGCUGACUCACUGCAAUCGGGAGCAAGCCCCCUCCCAC
This 87-nucleotide unclassified non-coding RNA is filed under the name Pseudomonas trivialis. The record is from RNAcentral. Lineage: Bacteria; Pseudomonadati; Pseudomonadota; Gammaproteobacteria; Pseudomonadales; Pseudomonadaceae.